This 873-nucleotide ribosomal RNA is filed under the name uncultured archaeon. RNAcentral describes it as "bacterial SSU rRNA". It matches the Rfam family "Archaeal small subunit ribosomal RNA", at positions 21 to 903 of the family's 1478-position model. The record is from RNAcentral.
CCCGACUGCUAUCGGAUUGGGACUAAGCCAUGCGAGUCAACUCCGCAAGGGGUGGCGCACGGCUCAGUAACACGUAGUCAACCUACCCUGGGGACGGGGAUAACCUCGGGAAACUGAGGCUAAACCCCGAUAGGCCAUGGCUCCUGGAAUGGGCUAUGGCUGAAAUCUAUAUGGCCCCAGGAUGGGACUGCGGCCGAUCAGGUUGUUGGUGGGGUAAUGGCCCACCAAGCCUAUAACCGGUGCGGGCUCUGAGAGGAGGAGCCCGGAGAUGGGCACUGAGACAAGGGCCCAGGUCCUAUGGGGCGCAGCAGGCGCGAAACCUCCGCAAUGGGCGAAAGCCCGACGGGGUCAGUCCGAGUGGUUCCCGCUGAGGGAACCUUUUGCCAGCUGUAAACAGGCUGGCGAAUAAGGGGUGGGCAAGUUUGGUGUCAGCCGCCGCGGUAAUACCAGCACCCCGAGUGGUCGGGACGAUUAUUGGGCCUAAAGCAUCCGUAGCCGGCCCAGUAAGUCCUCCGUUAAAUCCAACGGCUCAACCGUUGGGCUGCGGGGGAUACUGCUGGGCUAGGGGACGGGAGAGGCGAGGGGUAUUCCCGGGGUAGGGGUAAAAUCCACUGAUCCCGGGAGGACCACCAGUGGCGAAGGCGCCUCGCUAGAACGUGCCCGACGGUGAGGGAUGAAAGCUGGGGGAGCGAACCGGAUUAGAUACCCGGGUAGUCCCAGCCGUAAACGAUGUAGGCUCGGUGUUGGGCUGCCUCAGUGGCAGCCCAGUGCCGCAGGGAAGCCGUUAAGCCUACCGCCUGGGGAGUACGGCCGCAAGGCUGAAACUUAAAGGAAUUGGCGGGGGAGCACCACAAGGGGUGAAGCCUGCGGUUU